CUGUAUGUAAUGGUACUCACUCGCUUCCUGCAGGUAGUUUUUCAUCAUACAUUUUGUUCAUAUACGAAUAUAGCAAACAAGUAUUUUGUAUAAUUACUCAUCGUAACUAACUCUUUUACGUUGAUUUCAGGUGUUGAUCGAGAUGGAAACAGAGGUUCUGGUGGAAUAUUACAGGGAAUAAAUUAGAGUACGAUGAUACGAUAACUUGGUGUUGGAAGUAUGUGUGUGACAGAGCUCUGAAUUGUUACAUGUAUCAGUUAUUCAGUUUAAUAAUGGAACAUGCCUGAGUUCAGUUGUUGUUUUAUUCUCGUCACUUAACAUGUUAGAAUACAAUAUGAUCGUAGUAAGCUCUUCUGCUAACAUAUGUAAAUUUCAAGAGAUUUGGUCAAUUAACAUGUUUUAAAAGAAAACGAGGACUUGGAAUAAUCAUUAAGACUGAACUCCCCAACUAAGGCAACUGCAAAUGCUGUUUCAUCAUCUCCAUUCGUAACACAUAAAUUCUUACAAUGAUACAGACCAGUAAAGUUAGACAAGUAAAUAACACAAAGCCCAUAAAUUCUAAAUGAAAUAUAAGGAAUUCAGUAUUCAAGCUUACAGAAAUAUUCCAGUAAAUGAGGAUUACAUCUGAGCAUCUGUGGCUUCCACCGGAAAUACGUUAAUAAAAUAAGUACAUAUUCCUUAAUUCAAUGGUAAGACUGAAAAUGUAUUUUAUACAAUUUAUUUUAACAUUGUUCACUAUAAGAAAUGAUAAUAGGACUACAUAUUCCUUAAUUCGAUGGUAAGACUGAAAAUGUAUUUUAUACAAUCUAUUUUAACAUUGUUCACUAUAAGAAAUGAUAGUAGGACUUUUCGCACGGUCGGUUGCCCACGAUACGUAUCCCCUAAAUAAUUUUUGACAUAUUUUUUUCAUUCUAAAUUUUACAAAUUAUAUAAGUGUCCCCAGAAAAUGUAGAAAUAUACAAGUUUUUUCUAGAAUAUUUGUUUGGUGUCCCCGAAGAAACCGAUCCUAGAUCCCCCCAUGAGUCUUGCUCAGAAACAAAAUGGUCGGUCCACAAAGGUCACAUAUAUCCCCUCCCAACGGCGUUAACCCGACCAACUUACAAUUUUGCUGUUAACAAGUCUUUUCUGUCCAAAUUUUUCAGAUGAAUGUAGUGAUUCUAUUAGUACUUAUUACAGUUACAGUGAAGCCCGAAGACCGAUGAAUAAGGAAGCCAAGACAGUAAUGAAAACUUAAGGUAGGGAGGUCGCUACAGCACACAAUUACAUAGAUAUAUAUUGUCAAUUGUGACGGAUACAAAUGCAGAGACUCAAUCCCAAAUACAGAACAUGCAAUUGCGCAUGCUGAUUGCAGACAAGUACUACUGCGCCGCUUCUUUAUAAAUCAAACCAGCGUUCAUAUAAAAUACAUAACAUAAAACAACCUCCAUCUCAAGCCAGAUAUAAGGUGAAUUAGCCAUAUCUACGCGCUUCUGGGAGCUUCUUGGUGAUUGGGUAAUCCACGAUGACCGUGCCAUUAAAUAGCUUGGCUGCCUGGUAGCAAUCAAUAGUAGCUGUUGCGGCCUUUGCCUCCUGAGCAGGAACAAGCACCUGAUAAACAUGCGGCUUCUGUGGCAGCUGCUGAUUCAUAUUCAUAAAUUGUUCAUGUUGUUUUUGUAGCGGCUGUGACCGGGCUUUUCCUCUCUUUCUCUCGAAGUAUUCAUCCAACAUGGCAAAGCCUUCGUGCGCAGCCUUCAUAAGGUUCGACUUGCUUGGUGCCAUAUGUCUCUUGAGUUAAUUGAAAGCAAGUUUAAGUUUGUAUGUUUGGUGCAUGUAGUUCUAUAAACAAAAGUCCUAUAUAUAGAAGGUUUAUCAGUAAUGUGAACAGAGAAAAAGUGAAAUUAAAAUAUGAAUUAGGCCGGUUACGAUCUUCUAACUUUUAGUAAUAUACGAUUCUUAAAAGAUAGGCAUGGAGCUGAUGAAGCUUGAAGAUGAA
This 1972-nucleotide long non-coding RNA is filed under the name Daucus carota (carrot). RNAcentral's name for it is "long non-coding RNA (DCAR_LNC006419)". The record is from RNAcentral. Lineage: Eukaryota; Viridiplantae; Streptophyta; Magnoliopsida; Apiales; Apiaceae.